CUAAGAAUCUUCCGCAAUGGGGGAAACCCUGACGGAGCGACGCCGCGUGGAUGAUGAAGGCCGUAAGGUUGUAAAAUCCUUUUGUCGGUGAAGAAUAAGGGAGGGAGUGGAAAGCCCUUCUGAUGACGUUAGCCGACGAAUAAGCCCCGGCUAAUUACGUGCCAGCAGCCGCGGUAAUACGUAUGGGGCAAGCGUUGUUCGGAUUUAUUGGGCGUAAAGGGCGUGUAGGCGGCUCAUCAAGUCUGGUGUGAAAUUGCAGGGCCUAACUCUGCAUAUGCGCUGGAAACUGGUGGGCUUGAGUUCUUGAGGGGAAGCUGGAAUUCCAGGUGUAGGGGUGAAAUCUGUAGAUAUCUGGAAGAACACCGGUGGCGAAGGCGAGCUUCUAUCAGAGGACUGACGCUGAGGCGCGAAAGCGUGGGGAGCAAACAGG
RNAcentral lists this ribosomal RNA (430 nucleotides) under uncultured bacterium. Its description in RNAcentral is "bacterial SSU rRNA". It matches the Rfam family "Bacterial small subunit ribosomal RNA", at positions 355 to 776 of the family's 1533-position model. The record is from RNAcentral.